This 311-nucleotide long non-coding RNA is filed under the name Linum usitatissimum (flax). Its description in RNAcentral is "long non-coding RNA (LUSI_LNC001065)". Lineage: Eukaryota; Viridiplantae; Streptophyta; Magnoliopsida; Malpighiales; Linaceae. The record is from RNAcentral.
UAUGAUGCUCGGCGACAUUGCUACGUCCACCGAGCAGAGAGACCCAACCAAUCUGGCUCGACAGGAGAAGAAGAAAGAACAAAAGAAAGGACGAAAAAGGGGAGAAAAGGGAUUGAAAAGGGGGGAGAUGGAGAAGACGAGAGGAGAAUUAAAUAGAGAGGUGGAAUCGCAGAUACGGAAAUCUCUCAACCACAGAGGGCGAAGAGACAACCCCAGAAAUUUAUGGGAGACUAGGAAACAAUACAAAUUAAAUCAUUAGGGAUGAAAUGUUUUCUUAUUACAAUUUAUGUAACCGAGUGGGUGCUGACUGG